CCUACGGGAGGCAGCAGUGGGGAAUAUUGGGCAAUGGAGGAAACUCUGACCCAGCGACGCCGCGUGAGGGAUGAAGGCCUUCGGGUUGUAAACCUCUUUCAGUAGGGAAGAAGCGAAAGUGACGGUACCUACAGAAGAAGCACCGGCUAACUAUGUGCCAGCAGCCGCGGUAAUACAUAGGGUGCAAGCGUUGUCCGGAAUUAUUGGGCGUAAAGAGCUCGUAGGUGGUUCGAUACGUCGGAUGUGAAAAUCAGGGGCUCAACCCCUGACCUGCAUCCGAUACGGUCGAGCUAGAGUUUGGUAGGGGAGACUGGAAUUCCUGGUGUAGCGGUGGAAUGCGCAGAUAUCAGGAGGAACACCGAUGGCGAAGGCAGGUCUCUGGGCCAAUACUGACACUGAGGAGCGAAAGCGUGGAGAGCGAACAGGAUUAGAUACCCUGGUAGUCCACGCCGUAAACGGUGGGCGCUAGUUGUGCGAACCUUCCACGGUUUGUGCGACGCAGCUAACGCAUUAAGCGCCCCGCCUGGGGAGUCGAUCGCAAGNUUAAAACUUAAGGAAUUGACGG
This 565-nucleotide ribosomal RNA is filed under the name uncultured bacterium. Its description in RNAcentral is "bacterial SSU rRNA". It matches the Rfam family "Bacterial small subunit ribosomal RNA", at positions 338 to 916 of the family's 1533-position model. The record is from RNAcentral.